This is a long non-coding RNA of Canis lupus familiaris (dog), 551 nucleotides long. RefSeq lists it as uncharacterized. The transcript is spliced from 3 exons. The record is from RefSeq and is a predicted model, not a curated record. Lineage: Eukaryota; Metazoa; Chordata; Mammalia; Carnivora; Canidae.
CAUGGAGCCCCACUUGGGGGCUUGAUCCCAGGACCCCCGGGACCAUGACUGGAGCUGAAGGUUGUCCUGCCAGGAAUGCUCCAUCCCCUGUUGAGCCACCGAAUAAACAUCAACUCAUCCUUCAGGAACCUGGAACCUUCUUAGACACGUGGCUUCAAUCACCAUGUAUAUUCUGAGAAUGCUCAAAGCUAGGUCUCCACCUCAGAAGUGUUUAUUGAUUCCUAGAUUUAUACAGUCUGCUGCACACAAGGAAUUUCCACAUCUGAUCUCACCAAUUACUCCUUCACCUGUUUCCUCCUCUUGGAAUUCUCAAUCUGGGUGAAAGGCUCUUCCUUCUACCUAGUUUUCCAAGACAGAAACCUGGAAUCUCCUGGACUCCCCCGUUUUUUCCUCCUUUUUCCAUGUAAAGGCAGAAUUCAAGCUUUGUACUUAUUUCCACCCAAAUUUCUUUCUACUCUGCCUGCCUGCCUGUCUGCAUUCCCCCUGCCACUGCCUUAGCUCAGGCCAGCAUUUCUUUCUUCUUUCUUUCUUUCUUUCUUUCUUUCUUUCUU